UUCGCUAAGUUCUUUGAAUUUUCUUUUGUUGAAGCUUGUAUGUUGAAGCUUUCUGAGUGGAGCAUGUAGGUUGGGGUAGUGUUCCCUUAAUUUCCCGAGUGAGGAAAACUUCUUGGUUGGAGACUUGGAAAAUCCAAGUCACUGAGUGGGAUCGGCUAUAUGAAUCUUAGAACGCCAUUGUGCUCGAUCCUGUGUCAUGUCCUUCGUUAGAUCCAAGUACUCUAAGUCUUUUCUUAGAGUCUCUUCCAAAGUUUUCCUAGGUCUUCCUCUACCCCUUCGGCCCUGAACCUCUGUCCCAUAGUCGCAUCUUCUAAUCGGAGCGUCAGUAGGCCUUCUUUGCACAUGUCCAAACCACCGUAACCGAUUUUCUCUCAUCUUUCCUUCAAUUUCGGCUACUCCUACUUUACCCCGGAUAUCCUCAUUCCUAAUCUUAUCCUUUCUCGUGUGCCCACACAUCCAACGAAGCAUCCUCAUCUCCGCUACACCCAUUUUGUGUACGUGUUGAUGUUUCACCGCCCAACAUUCUGUGCCAUACAGCAUCGCCGGCCUUAUUGCCGUCCUAUAAAAUUUUCCCUUGAGCUUCAGUGGCAUACGGCGGUCACACAACACGCCGGAUGCACUCUUCCACUUCAUCCAUCCAGCUUGUAUUCUAUGGUUGAGAUCUCCAUCUAAUUCUCCGUUCUUUUGCAAGAUAGAUCCUAGGUAACGAAAACGGUCGCUCUUUGGUAUUUCUUGAUCUCCGAUCCUCACCCCUAACUCGUUUUGGCCUCCAUUUGCACUGAACUUGCACUCCAUAUAUUCUGUCUUUGAUCGGCUUAGGCGAAGACCUUUAGAUUCCAACACUUCUCUCCAAAGGUUAAGCUUUGCAUUUACCCCUUCCUGAGUUUCAUCUAUCAACACUAUAUCGUCUGCGAAAAGCAUACACCAAGGAAUAUCAUCUUGAAUAUGUCCUGUUAACUCAUCCAUUACCAACGCAAAAAGGUAAGGACUUAAGGAUGAGCCUUGAUGUAAUCCUACAGUUAUGGGAAAGCUUUCGGUUUGUCCUUCAUGAGUUCUUACGGCAGUCUUUGCUCCUUCAUACAUAUCCUUUAUAGCUUGGAUAUAUGCUACUCGUACUCCUUUCUUCUCUAAAAUCCUCCAAAGAAUGUCUCUUGGGACCCUAUCAUACGCUUUUUCCAAAUCUAUAAAGACCAUGUGUAAAUCCUUUUUCCCAUCUCUAUAUCUUUCCAUCAAUCUUCGUAAGAGAUAGAUUGCCUCCAUGGUUGAGCGCCCUGGCAUGAACCCGAAUUGGUUGUCCGAAACCCGUGUCUCUUGCCUCAAUCUAUGCUCAAUGACUCUCUCCCAGAGCUUCAUUGUAUGACUCAUUAGCUUAAUACCCCUAUAGUUCAUGCAAUUUUGUACGUCGCCCUUAUUCUUGUAGAUAGGCACCAAAGUGCUCGUUCGCCACUCAUUUGGCAUCUUCUUCGUUUUCAAAAUCCUAUUGAAAAGGUCAGUGAGCCAUGUUAUACCUGUCUCUCCCAAAACUUUCCACACUUCGAUUGGUAUAUCGUCUGGGCCUAUUGCUUUUCUAUGCUUCAUCUUCUUCAAAGCUACAACCACUUCUUCCUUCCGGAUUCGACGAUAAAAGAGUAGUUUCUACACUCUUCUGAGUUACUCAACUCCCCUAAAGAAGCACUCCUUUCAUGUCCUUCAUUGAAAAGAUUAUGAAAAUAACCUCUCCAUCUGUCUUUAACCGCGUUCUCUGUAGCAAGAACCUUUCCAUCCUCAUCCUUGAUGCACCUCACUUGGUUUAGGUCCCUUGUCUUCUUUUCCCUUGCUCUAGCUAGUUUAUAGAUAUCCAACUCUCCUUCUUUGGUAUCUAGUCGUUUAUACAUAUCGUCGUAAGCCGCUAACUUAGCUUCUCUGACAGCUUUCUUCGCCUCUUGCUUCGCUUUUCUAUACCUUUCACCAUUUUCAUCGGUCCUCUCCUUGUAUAAGGCUUUACAACAUUCCUUCUUAGCCUUCACCUUUGUUUGUACCUCCUCAUUCCACCACCAAGAUUCCUUUUGGUGUGGGGCAAAGCCCUUGGACUCUCCUAAUACCUCUUUUGCUACUUUUCGGAUACAACUAGCCAUGGAAUCCCACAUUUGGCUAGCUUCCCCCUCUCUAUAUCCCACACACAUUGGGUGAUUACCUUCUCUUUGAAAAUGGCUUGUUUUUCUUCUUUUAGAUUCCACCAUCUAGUUCUUGGGCACUUCCAAGUCUUGUUCUUUUGUCUUACUCUUUUGAUAUGUACAUCCAUCACCAACAAGCGAUGUUGAUUAGCCACGCUCUCUCCUGGUAUAACUUUGCAAUCCUUACAAGUUAUACGAUCCCCUUUCCUCAUUAGAAGAAAAUCUAUUUGUGUUUUUGACGACCCACUCUUGUAGGUGAUCACAUGUUCUUCUCUCUUCUUAAAGAAGGUGUUGGCUAAGAAGAGAUCAUAUGCCAUUGCAAAAUCCAAGAUAGCUUCCCCAUCCUCGUUUCUCUCCCCAAAACCAUGGCCACCAUGAAAACCUCCAUAGUUGCCUGUCUCCCUGCCCACGUGUCCAUUUAAAUCUCCUCCUAUAAAUAACUUCUCCGUCUGAGCAAUUCCUUGCACCAAGUCUCCAAGAUCUUCCCAAAAUUUCUCCUUCGAACUCGUAUCCAACCCUACUUGAGGUGCGUACGCACUAAUCACAUUGAUAAGUUCUUGUCCUAUUACAAUCUUGAUUGCCAUGAUUCUAUCUCCUACCCUCUUGACAUCUACAACAUCUUGUACCAAGGUCUUGUCCACGAUGAUGCCAACACCGUUUCUCGUUCUAUUUGUGCCCGAAUACCAAAGUUUAAACCCUGAGUUUUCUAGAUCCUUUGCCUUACUACCAACCCACUUAGUUUCUUGUAGGCACAUAAUAUUUAUCCUUCUCCUCACCAUAACUUCCACUACUUCCAUAGAUUUUCCCGUUAAGGUUCCUAUAUUCCACGUUCCUAAACGCAUUUUGCUCUCUUGAACUCUACCCUUCUGUCCUAGCUUCUUCACCCUCCCCCGUCUAAUAGGAUCAAAGUACUUCUUUUGUGUGUCCCGGGUAAAGUUGAUAGGAGCAUAUGCUCCCAAACAACUUUGAGUGGAGUCGUUCGAAAAGAAGUUUCUAUGGCCCCCUUGCUCAUUUAACACUGCAUCCGGGUGCCGAUGGAGAUACAGCGACCCUUGCUCACUUAUCACUGUGCUCGGGCCACACAGCGCGCCACUUACGGGUGACGCCCUAGCUUUAGCGCGAUUUUGUUCUGGAUUCAUUUUCAUAAGGAUUCGACGUGAUCAUGGAGUGUCGGCUGUCGACUACCUGACGCCCUCCCCCUCCUCCUUUAUCCAGGCUUGGAAAGAAGUGAAGAAGCAGUACAACGAUGGAGAAAAUUUUUGGAAGAAGCUUGCUUAUGUUGGUAACCCAACAGCCACAGAAAGAAUUCUAUUUUAGAUUUGCAGAUUAUUUUGGAUUUUUUUAACUUUUAAAUGUUAAAUAAAAAGCUAACAGAGUUUGAGAUUAGGUUAAGUUAGAUGACAUGUGUCAAAAUAUUAGCAAUAAGACAUACACACAAAAGGGGACAGCAGACUUGAAACCUUCAUACAGGGAUACAAAGUAUUCCCAUCUAUAUCUCAAAUAAAAGAUGACAUAAAUCAAUAUGAUUUGGUUUGUUUACAGAUGGCGGAUUGGAUUGGGACAAGGUCUUUUGUUCAACAUUUUAUGUAUCGAGACUAGAAAUUGAGAGUUUUUAUCAUUUUUUUUUCAGACAUGUAAAUGGCGUCCAUUGAAAAUUGGUGAUUGUGGGGGCAAGUCAAACUUUAAGUGUGACUUGAUCACUCUGAAUCUCAAAAUUUAAAGUACCGAAACCUAUUUUCAUGUCCAUGCUAUUGAAUUAUCAGAGAGACGAGUCGAUGGCCCAACUCCAACAACAUUGAUAUUGUUCCCAACUUGGUAAUUACCACCUGCACAAUCCGUCAGGUGUAGAGUUUUAUCACAAAAGGUCUCGAUUUUAGUUGAAAUGGGAUUAGGAUAUUUAAACUCUUCUUUUCUCAUUGAUACGGUGGAUGUGAGGCAUUUUAACACGCAUUCUCACGUGGGACCCAAUUAGUGGGUCACACAUGGAAGAUCCACACAUCGACAACCACGUGAAGCGAAGGAGACUCACCCAACACAGGGGGCCAAGGGACCCACCAUCAUCGCAUAGGGUCAAGGGGACCCAUCCAUCACGUGGCAGUACAGUACGGGCCAUCUUCUUGGCUCUGAUACCAUGUUGAAUUAUUAGAGAGAUGGGCCGAGGACCCAACUCCAACAACAUCGAUAUUGUCCCCAACUUGGUAAUUACUACCUGCACAAUCCGUCAGGUGUGAGAUUUUAUCACAAAAAAAACAUCGGUUUUAGUUGGAGUGAGGUUAUGGUAUUUAAACUCUUAUUUUCUCAUUGAUAUGAUCGAUGUGAGACAUUUCAACACAUGAACUUUUAUGCUGAUGGUUACUUUGUAUCUAAGUAGGGAAUGUUUAUUUGAUUUGUCAUUUUACCUAUUGGUUAAACUUUGAUCACUUAUCUUGGACAGAUAAAUCUGAGUUAUUUACAAUUGCACCAUGGAGGUCACUUUAUAGAAGCCUGUAAUGGGACAAUGACUUGUGUUGGGAAAAUUUUUAGUUGUGACUGGAACACAGAUGGUGCAUCACGUGUUUUUAUGUAAAUGGUGAAAAUUUUUAAUUUUUAAAUUAUUAACUUUUUAACAGACAUAUUCAACCAUUUACAUGAAUAUAUAUGAUAUAUCGUCUUGUGUGAUGGUCACACUAAAAAAUCUCUCAUUGUGUUGGUGGUCAUGUUGCUUGGUUUGACAAUAUGAACUGUGAUUUAAUGUCCAGGUGGGAUAUUGAGGAUUGUGCGAAGAAAGUAGGGUCACUACUAGAAAAAGAGCUACAGGACACCGUUCUUUAUAUUCUAUUCCCAAAUCGUGCAUAUUUGAAGAAAGUUGUCACCGUGAAAAAACAUUGGUGCAUUUUACAUUUUUUUACACUGAAAAACGGUGCCCAACAGAUAUUUGACAAAUUUUUUUUGGAAAUUAUUAACUUUUACUGGUGUCUAUAUGGAUUAUGGAGCGUGCCCUGACAACUUUUAUAGUCGAGUAAAUUGUAGUAAUGAUCUAUUAACUUUAAUCAAAUUGAAGCAAUGAUCAUUCAACUAAAAAUCCAUUACUAUUGGUCUUUCAACUUAUCAAAAUGUGUAGCUGUAGUCAUUUUCAUCAAUUUUAUCAAAAUAAAUUAUGUUGAAAUAACCAUUUAUAUAAUUAUGGUCCCUCAACUCAUCCAAAUGUGUAAUUAUGAUCAUUUUCGUCAACUAUGUCAAAAUUUUUGGCAAAACGAGUUAUGUUGAAAUGAUCAUUGCUACAAUUGGGUUAGAGUUAAGGGACUAUUUCUUCAGUUGAAUUAAAGUUGAGGGACCAAUAGUAAUGAAUUUUUAGUAAAUGAACUAUAAUUGCAUAUUUUGAUGAAUUUUUAUAAUCAAACCGAUUUGAUAUUGUAUAGAAAAUUUGAAUACAAAAGAUGCUGUAGAUGUAAUUAUUGAUUCCAUACUGAUGAAACCAGGUCAUUGUAAAACGCUCUCUCUAAAUCCAAUCCAACCAUGUGGCUGUGAGUUUCUCAAUUUUUUUAUUAUUAUCAAAGUAUGGACUGGAGCACAAAAGUAAAGUAAUAAACAAUAUUUCACCUCCACUCCUUUUCAUAUCAGUUUCCGGAUUCCUCUUCUCCUAAAAGCUUCUACAGUUUUUCUCCCAACACCUCAAGCGGUUGCAUGGCGUCCUCUAGAUCAGCAGCCUCUCAUCCGCAUGUCGUCAACAAUAUGCAUGUAGUCCUCUGUGUUUUUGUCGCCCUCUGAGUUUUAAAGUUGUUGGGAUGUGAAAGGCUGAGUCCACGAGAGAUUUGUUUACUGGGUUCGUAAGUUGUUUGAUGGGAGUUUGAUUGACUCUUAAACCUGGUAAAAAGUUUCCUUGCUUCUCUCUGUCUCUUCUCUUGCUUUAUAUUUUUUUAUUUUUUUAUUUUUUUUAUUUCUAAUUUUUAUUUUUGGUUGAAGUUUAAAACUUAGGCAAAAGACUGUUUACUACCCUCAUAUUUCGUGGUUUUCAACAUUUAGUAUAUCAAGUUUUUUUCGUCCCAGAGUCAUACCUAAAGUGUAAAUUUUGGGACAGUCUCAUACAUCUGUUAGUCAAACUGUUAAGUUUUCCGUUAACUGAUGACGUGGCGCCCAUGUGGACAAUGACUGGAUGCCACGUGUCAAUAAGGGUCCCACGUGGAUUUAAAAAUUACAAAAAAUUACAAAAUUGCAAAAAAAAAUAAAUAAAAAAAAAGCUGUUGUUGUCUACGCCCACCAAACCCUCUAUACUCGACCCAUCUCCCUCUCCUCCACCCUUUGCAAAAACCCUAACUCCCAAAAUCUUUUGAGUUUUCAAAAAAAUUGAGCAAACCGAGCAUGAAAUCCCUAAUCCCCAAAAUCUUUCCGACCCGUUUGAAUUUGACUUCAAUUUCAUCAAACACAUAAUGAAAACACAAAAAGACUUCGAUUUCGUCAUACCAAAAAACUGAUCAGUCAGGACUCGGACAUUCAUUUUCGUUUUGUUCCCCCCAAAUUUUCUCAACAACCAAACAGUCCAUUUCAAAUUAUAAACAACAAAAGCAGCAGAAUCACAAAGAUCAAUACACAAAAUUUGAAAUUUCUUAGCUAAUCCGUAACUCUGUUUGCGGGAAACAAAGCAGCUCUAAAUCACUCGCCUUUGAGUUCGAAAUGCAUACCUCGAUUUCUUAGAGAUAACGACGCUUUCUCAAACGUCGUCUAUGAGAAGGCCAUCCCGGCAAUGAUCAACGAAAAUCGGGAAAUGCAGUGAAAUUGGAAGCUGAAAGGACACCGUGACCUAGUUGGUGGCCAGACGACGGCAGAUAUGAUGAAAUUGCGGCAGAGAAAAUGGCUUUUAGGGUUUUAGAGAGGCAGUGAGUGAGGUGAAGAAUCUGGAAUUUUAGAGAGAGAGAGAGAGGAGAAGGGGGUCUCUACAGCUUGAAAAUGGCCUCAGCAAAGGCGUAGCGUUGGUGAAUCGCCUCGUCGAGGAAGCCACAGCGCUCCCGGCAUAAGGCGACGGCCAGAAGAUCGUCGAGCUUGGAGCUCGUCCAGCCCAUUGGGUUGGGUAUGGAGGGACUAUGAGAGGGAUGGGUCGGGUUGGGAGGUGGUGGUGAGGGAAGAACGAGUGCGAGUGGGGAGAGGGACGGAGGGGGGAGACCAAGUCGCUCGGGGUGGGGAAGACAAAAGGGAUCUGGAGAAGGAUGGAUAUGCAGAUGUGCAUAAGGAUUUAGGGAUUUGGGUAGUGAGAGCGGAGAGUGAGAGCGAAUGUGCAGAGGUACGUGUCACAGCAAAUCGCUCGGGGUGGGGAAGACAAAGGGGAUCUGGAGAAGGAUGGAUGUACAGAGGUGCAGAGGGAUAUGGGGAUUUGGGGAAUGAGAGAGAGCGGAGAGUGAGGGUGAGAGCGGAUGUGCAGAGGUGCAUAAGGAGAAGGGAAGCGGAUCGGGGUGGGGAAGACAAAGGGAAUCUGGGGAUUUUUUUUUUAUUUUUUUUAUUUUUAUACUUUUAUUUAAUUAAAAUUUUAAUUGUUUAUUUAUUUAUUUAUUUAUUUUUAAAUUUCCACGUGGAUGACCCGUGGCGCCCAGUCAUUGUCCACAUGAGCGUCACGUCAUCACUUAACGGGAGAUUUAACAGUUUGACUAACGGAUGUAUGAGACUGUCUCAAAAUUUAAACUUUAGGUAUGACUCUGAGACGAAAAAAACUUCAUGUACUAAAUGUUGAAAACCACGAAAUAUGAGAGUAGUAAACAAUCUUUUACCCUUAAAACUUUCUUUUAAAAGACUCAUUUUCUCUAAAAAGUAAUAAUAAAAAGGGAUAUCAAAUGAAAGGCUCUGGUAGUCUUGAAAUACGUGUAUUGUAGUUUCUCUAUGUAUAUAAAACAAGAACAAUUGAUAAUCUGUAUCUUUGGAAACCAACCAUAAUUCUCAGUUCCCCUCCUCUCUCAGAGUGCUCUCUCCCUCUCGUCAUCACGAGUAAGGCUAGAUCUAAUGAUCUGAUUUCAACGACGCCUCUGGCUACCAGAUCUGGUACUGGCAACCAUUUUUGCUUGGAUCUCGCUCUCUCUCCCUCUCGAGCUAAGCAGACGCACCUCCAUGGAAGAAGAUGGAUGCUCGACGUCAAAAUGAUGGAUGUAAGUUGACUGUAGAGAUCUGAUUUCCUGCUGCCUCUCCACCUCGUUUUCAUCAUGAUGUGCCCUAAACCUAAUCUGGUAGGUAUUUAUUUGGGUAUUUUUUUUAUCUCGGUUUCUUUUUCUAAUUCAUUUUCAGAUCGUUGGAAUGUAUGUAUAUCAAGUUCUAUUUAUAUUCUCUCUUUUUAAAUCAUUUUCAGAUAUUCGGGAUUGUUUGAGAAGACCUAUGAGAAUCCCACUUACAAAAUUUUGUGAGCAACAAACUUAAGUGUUGAAACAUUGUUUGUAUUUUCUAUUUUUCGUCAAAGUUAUUAUUUUUUAUUUUCUGUUUUUGUAUGCUUAAUGUUGACUCUUUUGGUGGUAUUGUUAUGAAGGUGAAUCUGGAAAAAUAUGUUCAUUCUAGAAUCGUUACUCGAGUUCUUGGAUGGAUGGGAAGGUUGUGGAACUCUCCUAGGUUUAAAUGAUUAAUUUUCAUCCAAAGCAUGUGGUAUUAAUCGUGGACUUCGUCAAUGGGAGCUCAGCGGGCUCCCUCUUUUUACAUACAUAAAUUGCAAUUUGGACACUGAUGCUAAAAGGCAUAUUUUAUGUGAAAAAAUAUUUAAUCUAUUAAUAAACAAAUAAACCAAAAUAUAAUAAUGUCAUAUAUCUACUAUUCCUUUGCCCACCAAUGUAUAAAUGGUGGUGUUUGUUACAAUAGAGACUUCUGUAGAGGACAUGGACCCUAAUUUAGUGGCUGCAUGAUGGCUGUUUAUGCUUGCCACCGAAUUCAGUGUCCAAUGUUUCCAAUUGGCACCAAUAAGAUAGUGUUCUAUAGCUAUUUUCUAAAAAAAAACUAAUGAAAAAGGCUUGAAAACUUUAAGUUUUAACGAUAAGGAUAAAAUAAAGGGUAAAAUGAAUAGUAUCAGAAUUGACUUUUUAGUGUAAAAAUAUAAUUUUUCGUUAAAGUGAACACUACCAUGAGUUUUUUAUUAAAACUCCUAUUUUUCUAGUAGUGGGUAUACUAAGACUGCUAAGUACCAUUACACAUUGUCAAAUGACAGAACUUACAAGCCCAUUGUUGCUGAUAGUGAUUUUUGGAGUCUAGCUACUGUAUUGCCCCUAAAUAGAGUGGUACUUGUGUACACCGUUGAUGAUGUCCAACUGAUCAAUUCAGCCCCAAACAUUGAAAUUCAAGCUUCAGCAAACUCUUUUGACAUUCCUUACAUGUCAGCCCCAAACAUUGAAAUUCAAGCUUCAACAAACUCUUUUGACAUUCCUCACGUCUGAUCCUUUUGGCAUAUUUGAGGGAUUUUUGGAGCAAGCUUAUGAAGGAGAUCGGGAACAAGACAACCUUGUUGAGGCAGGUAUACAUAACAUGGAAAAUGAAGAGAGAGAUGGCGAUGGCAAUUCGGAAGAUUCAAAUUAGUGAGACUCAGACUAUGAACAAAGUGAUGUCGAUGACAACUUAUUUGACGACAAUUUAGAGAAAACUAAAGGGAAAAAUACCAAUGGAAAAUGCAAUGGAAAUAGGAAAGCAUCACGUAAUACUGAACCCUUUCCUGAUUUAGGAUUUGGAGAUGUUGAAACAAACUACGAAGAUUCUGAUGGCUUUAGAAGUGGUUCUAGUUCAUCAUCUGAAGGUGAACAACCAGUGAAGCGGAAACGUAGGAAGAAAAUGCCCAAAUUCAUUCCUUUUAGAAGUGAUUUGGAUAUGAAGAACUGGAAUGAUAUUUGCCAAUAGAAGGGGGCUCAGACAAGCAGUGACAUAUUAUGGUUGUGUGAAUGGAAGACAAAUAAGAUUCCCAAUAAGAGAAGGUUAUAAAGUUCAGGGUAAGUGUACAAAGGAGGGAUGUCCAUGGGUGAUUUAUGCAAGCAAAACAGAUGGGAGCCCUGCACUUAUAGUGAAGACACUCAAUGACGUCCAUACAUGUCCGAGAGAGCAAAAGCUCAGAGUAUGCACCUCAAAUUGGUUAUCACAUAGGUAUGCUGACUAUUUGCUUGACAAUCCUAAGUGGGAAGUGUCAAAAUUUCAACAAACUGUUCAUAAACAAUACAAUAUGCAUGUAACACCGGCUCAACUUUAUAAAGCACGAUCAUUGGCAGCUGAGAAGAGUGAAGGGGGCUUAUGUGGAGCAAUAUGCAAGGUUAUGGGAUUAUUGUGAGGAGCUCAAGCGAAGAAAUCCUGGCAGUACAAUUUUGGUGAAGACUGAAAUGGAAGGAGGAAGGCCUAGGUUUCAGAGGUUGUAUGUAUGCUUUGCAGCAUUGAAAAAAGGCUUUUUGGAAGGUUGUAGGCCAGUGGUGGGAUUGGAUGGAUGCCACAUUAAAGGUCCACAUCCAGGCCAGUUGCUUGCUGCCAUUGGUAUAGAUGCCAACAAUGGCAUGUAUCCAGUAGCAUAUGCGAUUGUUGAAAUUGAAGAUAGAAGAACUUGGACUUGGUUUCUCGAGCUACUCAUCACUGAUUUGGGUAUUGAAAAUGGGCAUGCUUGGGUCUUUACGUCAGACAAACAAAAGGGGUUAAUAAAAGCUGUGAAGGACCUUAUUCCAACUGCUGAACACAUACAUUGUGUUCGACACUUAUAUAACAAUUUCAAGAAAACACACGUUGGCAUUGCAUUGAAACAAAUUCUUUGGUCAGCAGCUAGAGCAACCACCAUUCCAGGAUUUAAAGCAGAGAUGACUAAGAUGGAAGUUGAAGACGGAUUGGCUAUAAGUUGGUUUGAUGACAAACCAGCAUGUCAUUGAAGCAGAUCUUAUUCUAGGACAUCAUCUAAGUGUGAUAUCUUGUUGAAUAUUCUAUGUGAGUCUUUUAGUAGUGCAAUAUUGAGAGCAAGAGAUAAACCAAUAUUAACUAUGGUGGAAAGGAUUACAACAUAUCUGAUGGUCAGAAUGGCAAGAAUGAGAGAAGCAGCGGAUAAGUGGAAAACUGAGGUUGGCCCUAGAAUAUUUAAAAUGGUUGAAAAAAAUAAAUUAGAAAGUGGUUCAUGUAUUGCUUGGUUGUCAGGUGAUAUGGAGUAUCAAGUGAAGCAUAUGAGUGGAGCACAAUAUGUGGUUGAUUUAGCGAAACACACAUGUACAUGUAGAAGGUGGGAUCUCACUGGAAUUCCUUGUGCUCAUGGAAUUGCUGUAAUCUAUAGAAAGGAGGACGAUCCAUACAAGUAUGUUCAUUCUUGUUACAAGAAAGCAGCAUACUUGAGAGCCUACACUUAUAUCCAUGCCAUGCUUAGUCAAGAAUUUUGGCCACCUACAAAUCACCAACCCGUUGCAUCUCCAAAGUAUCAUAAGCAAGCUGGUAGGCCAAAGAAGGUGAGGGCAAGAGAGCAAGAUGAACCACAACCACCAUCAACCUUAAAAAAAUUGCCUAAAUGCUUCAGCAAGGUCACUUGUGGAAUGUGUGGCAAGAAAGGUCAUAAUCGUACAACAUGCGGGAAGAGGCAACGACAAGCUUCACAGGUAAAAAUAGCUUAAUGGUUUCACUUAUCUGCAUUUUUAGUCACAUAUGGUUGUUAUAAAUUGGGGAAUAUCAUCUCUUAGGCCUAUGGAGAAGCUGGGAGAGGACAAACUUGUGGGACAAAUGAAAUUGGCCAUAACUCACCAACUACUGAAAGUGGGCAAACACAAGCAAUGGUGUGCGUACUGAAAACUUCGGUAUUUUAAGGUUUUGUCUUGUAUUUAUUGACUGAUGUAUGUGUAACUCUUUUAUUGAUCAUUUUGUAGCAUGCCACUGGAGGAAAUACGGGAAGUGAAACUCCACCAAAUCAGGGACAAGAAAAAUCUGCACCUAAUGCAAGUUCUUUUGACCUAUGUCUUUGUCCCUUUCUCGUCAGGUUUUUUUUUACUUUUUUAUUGUUUGUAGGUUUCUAAAAGGGGUAGAGUGAAAAAAAAAUGCAAGAGGUAAGUCAAUGCACAAGUCAAGAAAACCACCUAAAAACCGUAGAAUCUGAAGAAAUCAUUUGAAACUUUAGACUUUUUGUUAAUAUUGUCAAUAUCCUCUUGGACUCGAUGGUACUGAGCACUGUGAUCAUGAUACUCACUAGAUCGAAGUGCAUGUUUAAUAAUGGAAUCACCAAAUGGAAAAGCAAAAUCAUAAGUUGGGUACAAGUUGUACUCGGACACAAUUCGAUGAUGUGGUGUAGAUUGUAGGGGUAAUAAAUAGGAUCUUGAAGAGAUUUUUUUUGGAUACUGCAUAUCCAGAGUUCUCCUCAAUGAAUGAUUAUGAUUUAGGUCACAAUUGACCUCGAAUGCCCAUUUUCUUCUCAAGAAUUUGAAAACGAAUUUGUGAGCUUAAUCAACAUCUAAUUGUGGACUAUCUCACCUAGAUAUAUCUACAAGAUGGUCAUAAUAUUAUUUGCUUGUUAUUACAAGCUCAAUUUCCCAAUUGUAGGCUAUUUCAGACCACUGGGAAUUACUUUUAAGCACACAAUUUUUCAUGGCUUAGCACAAGGUUAAGCAUUCUAUUCAUUGCUAAUUUUUGGUUAGGAGAAUCAUCUUGAUCCACAGGCAUGUAUCAUCAUGAUCAUUUCGGUUGACGUUUAUUUUUCAACCAACAAGAAAUUGUGUACACAAAGAUGGUUCAAUCCAUGAAAAUUGAGAUUCAAGUUUAUCUUUCUAAAUAGCAACUAAAAUACCUCUUUGUAAUUGCAAUAUACAAUUUAGUUUUACAAAAAACAUCCAAAAGAGUUUCAAGUCAUGCGGAUGAACAUUUUAUGCAAAUAUAUUGCAUGGGCUUGAUCCUUUUUACUUCAUCACUAGUCAUUCCCUCGCAUUCAGCAUGGAAACUUUAUGAGCAAUUCAUAUGAUGUAAUAAGUAAAGAUGGAAUUGAACAAUAACAACUUGAAAGAAAAGAAUUUGAAGACUUUACCACUCCUUGCAUGCCUCACAGCACACCAUGAGAUUAUCUGGGUUAUACGGUAUCUGACAAGUGCAAUACCUUAAAAAAUAAUUAAACAAAUAAACAGCACAUCAAAUUUCAUCUAUAAACACCACAUAUCAACUAAAACGUAAGAUAAAAGAGACUCACAGAGGAAUAAGAAAAUUGUCGAACCCUUUCCUAGAAUGCAAGACCUAAAUCUCUAAUAGUAAUCCUCAUAUGUUACCAUUUGGAGUUUUACGUACUCAUCAAGAGUGUGGACAUUACACUUUCCGAGAAUGGUAUCAAUGCUCAUAGUAUCACGAUGAUUAAACCAUAUGAGCUCAUCCUUUCCAAAGAAAGGAGGACGCUUUUCAAGGGCAUCAUCUGACCUAUAGAACCACCUCACCAUCACUUUCUUUUUAUUGUGACUAAAACGCAGGAUGGCCGCCACCCAUGGCUGAUCGUUCACUAUUGCACCAUCAUGAUUAAUCAUGACUUAAUCCCCAACGGAGAAAGUCUCAUUGGUAGUUGUAAUGCAACAAGUGGCCAUCCCUUCCAAAUAACUGGCAAUCAUAUAAAAGAGAUCCAACAAGAAGUGAUCAGCUUAACCCCAGUGUCCCUCCCAACUCUAAUGUCAAUCACAUAAAAGAGAUCCGUCUACUAUAUGACCUCAACUAUAACAAAAGAGCUCAAUCUUAUAACAAAAGAAUAAACAAAACAUAAAUCUUAUAACAAAAGAUUAAAAAAACAUAGCUAUUAGUGCUUUUAGUGAGGGUGAAAUAAUCUGGACAAUAGAAUUCAAACUACACCAUUACAUAAUUGAUCUACAUUCUAAUCACUAGCAGCAAAUGAAACCUUAAUUUUAAUUCAAAAUUGAAACCCUAAUAGCUCAAAAUUUCGAACUAUUACAUAAUUGAUAACUAGUUUUAAAUCAAAAUCACUAGCAGUAAACGAAACCCAAAUCGAAAUCAAGGUGAAAUUUCUUACCACGUGCAGUGCAAUCGUUGGAGGUGAAAGACAUAUAGAAUUCGAGAGGAGAAAGAGACUCAGAAACGAGUCGAGAGAGAGCCGGUGUGUGGUGAUUCUGAAUUUGAAUUAUAUUAGCCGUUGAAUUUAAAUUUGGACCGCCAAAUUUUUUACUGUUGGAUUUAAUCAUCUUAGCUGUUGAAUUUAAACACUUUAUAAAAGAAUAUGAAACGUAUUGAAAAAAAUUCUUUUAAUUAUUUCACUCGUUGAACUCCCGAGUCUCAACUCCAUCCCUUAAGACUCUCUGGAUUCCAAGUCUCCUACUACCAGGCACCACCACCAUCUCCUCUCAAGUCUCAACUCCCACAUCUCUUCUAUCUCCCGACUCCAACCACCACCAUCAUCUCCUCUCAACUGAAGUCGAUAGCUCGAUCCCUCCCACCACUGAGUAAGGUACUCAGUUUUAAUUUUUAGGGAUUUAAGAUUUAGUGUUUUCUAGAUUUUGGGGUCUUGAUCUAAUAAUUUCUAGUUGUCUGAUAACGGAAUCAACUGCUUAGUCUUAUAAUUUUGAAGCUUUGCUUUGAUAUUUUGAUUAAAUUGAAAUUUGAAUUAUGAGAAUAUUAGAAACUUACAUAUCUAUGUAAUGAAGAAAAAGAAAAUUAGAAACUUACAUGAAUUGAUCAAAAUAAUUACACCAACAAAAUAUCCAUUCAGUCAAAAUUUUGCACCAUUACAGAAUUGAUCUAAAUUCUAAUAACUAGCAGCAAACAAAACUUUAAUUUUAACUCAAAAUCGAAACCAUAAUAAAAUAGGAAAGUUAGCUAAAAAUUUCGCACCAUUACAAAAUUGAUUACAUUUUUUAUUCAGAAUAGAUUACAUUUUUUUUUUCCUUUUCAAAACAGGUUAUUUUCACAUAUCCUUUGUAAUCCAAACACAACACUAGCUCAAUUCAAUUUCAGAUCAAAACGACCCUGACUGUACUAUUAUUAUCAAAAUCCACAACCAUAUCAAUCACAAAAUGGAAGCUUGAAUGAGAUAAAAAAAUAUUUAAAAACUUAUCACUUUUAUCUUAUUGAAUAUGGCUUCCAGGGAGAAAAAAGGGAAAAAUUGAUGGCGAAAUCUCUUUUCUACAUGAACAACAAAAACCCAGCACAAUGACACCAAAUACAAUCUAAUCCAAUUCAAUCAAACCAAUCUCAAUUCUCAUAUUCGACUUUAAUCUCAAUUCAAUCUCAUAAUUCCAAAUACAAUCUGCUUUGCUCAAUUCAGUUUCAAAACAAACGACCCGGACUGUACUAUUAUUAUCAAAAUCCACAAGCAUAUCAAUAAGAAAUGGAAGCUUGAAUGAGAGAAAAAAAAUAUGUAAAAACUGACCACCUUUAUCUUAUUGAAUAUGGCUUACAAGGAAAAAAGGGAAAAACUGAUGGCGAAAUCUUUUAUCAACAUGAACAACAAAAACCCAGCACAAUGACACCAAAUACAAUCUAAUCUCAAUUCAAUCAAACCAAACUCAAUUCUCAUAUUCCAAUCUAAUCUCAUUUUAAUCUCAUAAUUCCAAACACAAUAUGCUUAUAAGAAUGACCCCAACACUUGCCCACCGAUCACCAACACCCCAAAUCUAAAUAUUCUCAUAAUUCUAAUUCCAAUUCAAUCAAAUACCAAAGCAAAGCUUCAAAAUUAUAAGACUAAGCAGUCGAUUCCAUCAUCAGACAACUAGGAAUUAUUAGGUCAAGACCCCAAAAUCCCAAAAUCUAGAAAACACUAAAUCUUAAAUCCUUCGCCCAUGAGCGGUAGGUCUUGGGUUCGAGACUUGGGAGCAGCCUCUCCAUAAAUGGGGGUAAGGCUAGCCGACAUUCACCUCUCCCAGACCCUGCGUAAAGCGGGAGCUUAUGCACUGGGUACGACCUUACUUAGUGGUGGGAGGGAUCGAGCUAUCGACUUCAGUUGAGAGGAGAUGAUGGUUGGUGGUGGUCAGAGUCAGGAGAGAGAAGAGAUGUGGGGAGUUGAGACUUGAGAGGAGAUGGUGGUGGUGCCUGGUAGUCGAAGACUCGGAAUCCAGAGAGUAUGGGGGAUGGAGUUAAGACUCGGAGUCCAACGGGUAAAAUAAUUAAAAGAAAUUAUUUCAAUGUGUUUCAUAUUCUUUUAUAUAGUGUUCAAAUUUAAAUUCAACGACUAAGAUGAUUAAAUCCAACAGUUAAAAACAAAAUUGACGGUCCAAAUUUAAAUUCAACGGCUAAUAUAAUUCAAAUUCAGAAUCACCGGCUCUCUCUUUCUCUCUCGACUCCUUUCUGACUGUCAAGUCUCUGUCUCCUCUCGAAUUCUGUCUUUCACCUCCAACGGCUGCACUGCACAUGGUAAGAUAUUUCACCUUGAUUUUAAUUUGGGUUUCGUUUGCUGCUCGUGUUUCUGAUUUUGAUUUAAAAUUAGUUAUCAAUUCUAUAAUAGUUCAAAAUUUUGAGCUAUUAGGGUUUCGAUUUUGAAUUAAAAUUAAGGUUUCGUUUGCUGCUAGUGAUUAGAAUGUAGAUCAAUUCUGUAAUGGUGUAGUUUGAAGUCUAUUGCCCAGAUUAGCUCACCCUCACUAAAAGCACUAAUAGCUAUGUUUUUUUAAUCUUUUGUUAUAAGAUUUAUAUUUUUUUUUAUUCUUUUGUUUUAAGAUUGGGCUUUUUUGUUAUAGUUGAGGUCAUAUAGUUGACGGAUCUAUUUUAUGUGAUUGACAAUAGAAUUGGGAGGGACACUUGGGUUAAGUUGAUCACUGCUUGUUGGAUCUCUUUUAUAUGAUUGCAUGUUAUUUGGAGAGGAUGACCACUUGUUGCAUUACAACUACCAAUGAGACUUUCUCCAUUGGGGAUUGUGUCCUGAUUAAUCAUGAUAGUGCAAUAGUGAACGAUCAGCCAUGGAUGACGGUCAUCCCGUGUUUCAGUCAUAAUAAAAAGAAAGCGAUGGUGAGAUGGUUCUAUAGGUCAGAGGAUGCCCUUGAAAAGCAUCCUCCUUUCUUUGGAAAUGAUGAGCUCAUAUGGUCUAAUCAUCGUGAUCAUGUGAGCAUUGAUAACAUUCUCGGAAAGUGUAAUGUCCACACUCUUGAUGAGUACGUAAAACUCCAAACGGUAACAUAUGAGGAUUACUAUUGGAGAUUUAGGUACUUGCCUUCCAGGAAAGGGUUCGACAAUUUUCUUAUUCCUCUAUGAGUCUCUUUUAUCUUACGUUUUAGUUGAUAUGUGGUGUUUAUGGAUGAAAUUUGAUGUGCUGUUUAUUUGUUUAAUUAUUUUUUAAGGUAUUGCACUUGUCAGAUGCCGUAUAACCCAGAUAAUCUCAUGGUGUGGUGUGAGGCAUGCAAGGAGUGGUAAAGUCUUCAAAUUCUUUUCUUUCAAGUUGUUAUUGAUCAAUUCCGUCUACUUAUUACAUCAUAUGAAUUGCUCAUAAAGUUAUUUUCCUCUUUGACUUAAAGGUAACAUGCUGAGUGCGAGGGAAUGACUAGUUAUGAAGUAGAAAGGAUCAAGCCCUAGCAAUAUAUUUGCAUAAAAUGUUCAUCUGCAUGACUUGGAACUCUUUUAGAUUUUUUUUUAAAACUAAAUUGUAUUUGCAAUUACAAAGAGGUAUUUUAGUUGCUAUUUACUUUUGGAUGUGUAGAACUAAAGAAAGAUAAACUUGAAUCUCAAUUUUCAUGGAUUGAACCAUUUUUGUGUAUACAAUUUCUUGUUGGUUGAAAAAUAAACGUCAACCGAAAUGAUCAUGAUGAUGCAUGUGGAUCAAGAUGCUUCUCCCAAGCAAAAUAAGCAAUGAAUAGAAUGCUUAAACCUUGUGCUAAGCCAUGAAAAAUUGUGUGCUCAAAAGUAAUCCCAGUGGCCUGAAAUAGCCUACAAUUGGGAAAUUGAGCUUGUAAUAACAAGCAAAUAAUAUUAUGACCAUCUUGUAGAUAUAUCUAGGUUAGAUAGUCCACAAUUAGAUGUUGAUUAAGCUCACAAGUACAUUUUCAAAUUCUCAAGAAGAAAAUGGGGAUCUGAGGUCCAGACCUAAAUCAUAAUCAUUCAUUGAGAAGAACUCUGGAUAUGCAAGAUCCAAAAAAAUCUCUUCGAAAUCUUGUUUAUUACCCCUACAAUCUACACGACAUCAUUGAAUUGGGUCCGAGUACAACUUGUACCCAACUUAUGAUUUUGUUUUUCCAUUUGUUGAUUCCAUUAUUAAACAUGCACUUCGAUCUAGUGAGUAUCAUGAUCGCAAUGCUCAUAUUUGUGCUAUUUUGAUUACCUUAUCUCGCUAUCACUUGAUUCAUUAGUUCUAAAGGAAGUUCUAAUCACUACGAAAACAGCUUAAUAACAGUUGAUUAUCCCUAAAACAAAGAGGGCAAACAUAGAAAUAGUGUUUGUACUCAAAAUCCCAAUUGUGUAACACAUGGUUGUAAUCUACCCUGAUCUCAAAAUUUAAAAUUCGACACAAAAAUGAAAUUUGGAAUGAUUAGCAGGGAAAUAAGAGAGAAGCGUGAGCGAAUAUACCCAUGAGGCCUUCGGAUCCGAGUUCGGAGCUUGAAGGGCAGAGGUUGCAAACCCAGAGCAUGGAAGAAGCGGGAAGGAUUUUCCUCUGUGCUGCCUCGUGUCUUCUACUAUUUAUCCAAGCAUUGACUGUUCAAAUAUUGGGUAGUGGGUAAUCUUAAAACUGAUAUAAUCAUAUAGAAAUAACUUUGUUCAAUCUUUCAGGAUCUUAACAACAUGUCUUUCAACAAUAUUUGUGAUGUUGAUUUUGAAUCAUGUCUCUAUUUUAGAUUGAGAGAGAGAGCAUGAUUUAAGCGGGAACUAUCUCAGAUUCUCAGGCAAUUUUCCUAUCUAGCAAAUGGUUAAGACAGAAAAAUGAACCUUCGAUAUAGAAAACAUCGUAAGCUUACAAAAGCCACCAAAUCAAAGUUAUGCUUUUUUAUGUGCUUGUUUGCAACAUGGCAUAUUUAUUGCUUUCCAGGGUAUAAAUGGCUAUCAUGCAAAAUGAAAAAGAAGUUAAAGACUUCCAACAAUGGAGAGCAUACCACCAUCAUAUGUGAUCCAGGGCAACACCAUAAAAGCAUGCUAGAAUUAGAGAGAUGAGACUGGUGGCUAGUGGCAUAUUUUAAUUAGCAAAACCUCCAAGAUAAGUCGACCUCUCUGAUCAUAUGGGAAUUUGCAAAGAAAUGGAUUUCCCGUAGAUAUCUUUUGCAUCAUCAUAGUCAUUAUAAAAAAGGUAAACAUGAUGACAUGUUUCAGGACAGCAUACAUAACACAUGCAUAAACACCCCAAUUGCAAACUCUACAAUGAAAGGGACCAAAAUAAAAUAAAAACUUCCGUUAAACUAAAACAAUUACAAAAUCCAAAAUUCAAUUCUUUUUUUUUUUUUGCAAACUCUUCAAUGAAAUGGACCAAAAUAAAAUAAAAACUUUAGUUAAACUAAAACAAUUACAAAAUGCAAAAUUCAAUUCUUUCUUUUUUCUUGUGUCAAAAUUAAAUUAUUGUAACCUUCAUAAAUGCAUCAAUUUAUGGAUCCGGCCUUAUAUUCCUUUCCCUCUCUAACCGUACCAAAUCAUUCAUGUAUGCUACAGCAUAAAACAAUUGACAAAAACAGGGGAAGGAUAUCAACAGUGCUCGAUUGAGUACAUGAAAUAAUUGCUGGAAUUAAGAAUAUAUACGCAUUGAAAGUAACGAAAUUGCAAUUAACAAGAACACACCUACAUAGGCUUCACUUGCAUCUUGACAUCUAGCUGUAAAAUCCAAUGUUUCUCUUACGGUCAGCUCUGGAAAAUGAUUAUCUGUUCGGUGGAUUUAUGCCCCAAAAUUCAAACACCAGAGUUUCCUAAAAGCAAAAAAGACUGAAAUCAGACAAUCACACGUAGCAUCCGAGCACACAUACAAAACCCUCCAAAAUUACAACAUAAAAGCAAUUGUAGGCUCAUUGGAAAAGUGUAUAUAUAUAUAUAUAUAUAUAUAUAUAUAUAUUUUUUUUUUUUUUGUGGAAAUGCUAAUAGAUUCAUUUUCCAAUCCUCAAAUCUAUUUCCCCACAAAACCAAAAAAAAAAAAAAAUGUUAGUUUGCACCCCUCCGAAGCAAAGGGAAUGAAAGAAAGGAAGAGCAAAAUAAAAGACAAGGGGGAGUCUAAACUUGGACACCAAGCAUAAUAAGUACAACUACUGCUAAAACCAUUUGUCAGAUGAUAUGAAAUAUGAAUCAUGAACAUACACGCAAUAAAGUUUCCCUUAUGGAAUCCUCAAAUAAUCUGGUACAGACUGGAUCACCUAGAGAUUAAGAAAUAAUAGUCCUACUAGUAUAGAAGCAUGCAAAAGAAGCUCUAGGAAUUAGAAAAACAUCGUCCUCCAUACCUGAUGAAAUAUCUCAGGCUGCGAGGUGUAACCAUUUGCAGUUCAUUUAUCUGCAUCCCACACCAUGCAGCUUCACUAAUGACCAACGAAUUCAUACUGCAGUGCAUAGAGAAAAAUGCAACUGCACAUAAACUCUUAACUACAUUGAAAGUCAUGAUACCAAAGCAAUGAUGAAACUUCUUCACAUGAUAUCAUUUUGAACCAUACCAAAGCAUGUCAAUUCUAUGUGAUUUUGUUAAGAGUAAAUGUUCAUUUUCUAUGUUGUAUAUAUCCAUGUACCAACUUCAGAUCUACUAACUUUGAGAGAAAGAGAAACAAUUACAACAUUUUUCUAUGCAUGACGAUAAUAAAUAUGACUCAUAAAUAAUUUUGACCUUAAACAAAAGAAAAUGCUUAGGAAAAUUAAAUUUAACAGAGGUCCAUACCUGUAGCAGGGAAAAGAAUGGAUGUAUCCCUUCUUUUUUUCUUUUUUGGUCUGAAUGUAUCCCUUCCCUUUAAAGGUUGCACUGCCCAAGAAGUAAACUCGUCAUAAAUUAAUCAAAAAAAUGAAAGUAAAUUAUGCAUCACGAUGUAGUCAAUUUGGAUUUUAGAGGAUUUUAAUGGAUUUUUUUAAGUGACAAAUUUAAAAAGAUUUUAAUAGAUUUACAAUUCUAUGUAGAUUUUGGCAGAUUUAUAUGGAUUUCUAUUAUAGAUAUUUAUGGAUUUGAAUGGAUUUCUUAGGAUUUUAGUUGACUCCUACAACAUAAAAUAAAUAUUUUUUUUAGUACACAAUCUGAAAAGAACAUAAAUUGAAAGGAACAUAAACAUAUAUCUAUUGAUAUAGAAAUACAAACCAAUCAAAUAUGUAAAUAGAAUGGGGUAUUGAGAAUAUUGAUCCAAGAGUUUGAAUAAUUGUUAAGGAUAGCAUCUGCUUUAGAACAUCAUAGCCAUUCAAGAAUGAUGAUUUCAAGUUCAAGAACAGGAUAUCCAAUCAUGAAUAAUAAUAAUAUAUGUGAAAGAAUACCAAAUGAAAAUCGAAAUUGAGUAGGACAUAUUUGGGCAGCAAAAUCCUGGGAUAAAAAACAUUUUAACCAUGACCAAAAAAAAAAAACAUUUGAAGCCAAAAACAUGGACACUAAUUUGCAGAAAAAAGGCUUAAAUCAAAUGGGAAAAGCCAAACUUAGAAAAAUCAAAAGUGCAGAUGAGAGAAUCUCAAUUCAGAAAAGCACGAGUAUAAAGCAAAACAAUAUACAACUAUAAUCCAACAACAACAACAACAACAACAACAACAAAGCCUUUUCCCACUAAGUGGGGUCGGCUAUGAAUCCUAGAACGCCAUUGCGCUCGGUUUUGUGUCAUGUCCUCCGUUAGAUCCAAGUACUCUAAGUCUUUUCUUAGAGUCUCUUCCAAAGUUUUCCUAGGUCUUCCUCUACCCCUUCGGCCCUGAACCUCUGUCCCGUAGUCACAUCUUCGAACCGGAGCGUCAUUCGGCCUUCUUUGCACAUGUCCAAAUCACCGGAGCCGAUUUUCUCUCAUCUUUCCUACAAUUUCGGCUACUCCUACUUUACCUCGGAUAUCCUCAUUCCCAAUCUUAUCCUUUCUCGUGUGCCCACACAUCCCACGAAGCAUCCUCAUCUCCGCUACACCCAUUUUGUGUACGUGUUGAUGCUUCACCGCCCAACAUUCUGUGCCAUACAAACAUCGCUGGCCUUAUUGCCGUCCUAUAAAAUUUUCCCUUGAGCUUCAGUGGCCUACGACGGUCACACGACACGCCGGAUGCAUUCUUACACUUCAUCCAUCCAGCUCGUAUUCUAUGGUUGAGAUCUCCAUCUAAUUCUCCGUUCUCUUGCAAGAUAGAUCCUAGGUAGCGAAAACGGUCGCUUUUUGUGAUCUUCGCUAGAUUGCUCCGGUCAUUAGUGUGGAUAAGUAUAUAAAUGGAUAGAGAUAGGAAAGCAAACACAAGAUGUACGUGGUUCACCCAUAUUGGCUACGUCCACGGAAUAGAAGAGUUCUCAUUAAUUGUGAAGGGUUUACACAAGUACAUAGGUUCAAGCUCUCCUUUAGUGAGUACAAGUGAAUGAUUUAGUACAAAUGACAUUAGGAAAUAUUGUGGGAGAAUGAUCUCGUAAUCACGAAACUUUUAAGUAUCGGAGUGUGGUGUCGUCUUGACUUGCCUUAUCUGUCUCAUAGGUAGAUGUGGCAUCUUCUCUGGAAGUACUCUUCCUCCAUCCAGGGGUGGUAUCUUUAACUGGUGGAGAUGCACAAGGUAAUGUAUCAAUUUCACUUGAAGCUUACUUGUAGUUUCAGGCUUGGUCAAGCGCGAUACAAACCAUGUAGUAGGAGUCCCCCAAGUCGCCGAGCUAGGGGGUCUGCUGAAAGAGGUGACAGACAAGGUAAGCAAUCAGAGCUCCGACUGAUUGUUCACCUUCUCCCCAUCUUGCAGCAGCAUGAAGGAUAAAGAGAAGAAAAAUGAGAAGAGAUGAUAUGAGAUACUUUUGCUUUUGAAGAAGUAACUUUCCACAAGCUUAUUCUUGAACUGAGCUGGAGGGUUUUCUGGUUUCCUCCAGAGUAUAAGGCCGACUGAAGAAUUUGAGGGUCAAAACAAGUCCAUCAAAUCUAGAGUACGUUCCACCCUGCUGAUAUGGGAUACUUUUGCUUUUGACAGAGUAAUGGAUGUAUCGGCACGUGUGCUGUUACGCUUGUCUCCACAUGCUUCCUUGUAUCCUUCGCACUUGCCCUAUCUGUUCCUCAAGCAGAUGCGGAAUCUUCCCUGGAAACAUAAGAUGUUGAAGAUGAGUACUCGAGAGCAAUGCCAGGUAAGUAAUCAGGUAAGGGGUUCCAGGCAGUCAGUUCCUGGCUGGAAGCUUGAUUCCAAGUGCUGACUGAUUGCUCUCUUUCUCCUUGUCUUGCAGGUAAAAACAAGGCCAAAGGAAAAGACAGGGAAAAAGCAUGAUAUGGGAUACUCUUGCUUUUAACCCUGAUGAUAUGAGAUAUUCUUGCUCUAGUAUAGCUUGUUUACAGAGGUAUUAUCGGGGGGAAAGAAAGCUGAAUAUUUCGAAAGGCUUCGUUGGGAGUGCCCUCUCAGAUAUGAUGAAGGGUUGAGCAUUUUUGCAGGUCUGCCUGUCCGUUGGGGAUGGAGGUCGACAUAUAUAGGAGUCUCCCUAACAAGUAGUAAUGCUAUUCCUUUACCCUGCUUGGUCAUAGCACGGUAGUAGGGAGCUGCCAGUUUCACAUGUUUUAACUCUGUCAGAGCACUUUGAAAAAGUGGUCUGUGGUAUUUGGCUCUCGAGAUUCGGAGAACGAUGCCUCUUCGAUUUUUGAGAAAGCAAUCAUGCUGGGGGUCUGGCUCUCGAGAUUCGGAGAGCAGUGUCUCUUCAAUUUUUGAGGAAGUAAUCAUGUUGGGAGUCUGGCUCUCGAGAUUCGGAGGGCGGUGCCUCUUCGAUUUUGGAGCAAGCAAUUUUUGUUGGGAGUGUUUGUCUCGAAUGUGAGUAAAGGUUGGGCAUGUUUGCUAGUCUACCUUGCCACGAAGCACAAAGGUUGACACACAGGGACUUUCCAAUUAUCCAGCAAUGGUACUGUUCCUUUACCCUCUCUCUUCGAUUUUGAGAAAGUAGUCAUGUUGGGAGUCUGGCUCUCGAGAUUCGGAGGACGGUGCCUCUUCGAUUUUGGAGCAAGCAAUCUUGUUGGGAGUGUUUUCUCGAAUGUGAGUAAAGGUUGGGCAUGUUUGCUAGUCUACCUUGCCACGAAGCACAGAGGUUGACACACAGGGACUUUCCAAUUAUCCAGCAGUGGUACUGUUCCUUUACCCUUGUGGGUAAUAAUAUGGUAGCUAGACCUUCAAAAUUUAUGUGUCUAAACUUUGUUAGUGCUGUUUCUUUGCUAUUCUUUUACCUUUCUUGGUCAGAGCGAUGUAGUGGGAGCUGCAAGCUUCACGUGCUCAACUUUGGCAAAGUUAUCUGUGGUACCCAUGAGCUAUUGUUGCGUGUGGGAAGUGGGUGAUUGAACAGUAAGAUUCAUGUGCUUUCUACUUCACCAGAAGUCUUCGACAGAAUGCCCAUAAUUUCUGCAAAGCUGAGUGUGCGUGUGACAGGUGCUGACAAGGCUAGAAAAGUAGGUGUCUCUUCGAUUUCUGAGAUCGGCCCUCGUGGUCUCUGAGCAGCCCAGCUUUUGAGAAAGCGAGCGCCUCUUCGAUUGAUUCGGAGAACGAUGCCUCAUCGAUUUUUGAGAAAGCAAUCAUGAUGGGGGUCUGGCUCUCGAAGAUUCGGGGAGCAGUGUCUCUUCGAUUUUUGAGAAAGUAAUCAUGUUGGGAGUCUGGCUCUCGAGAUUCGGAGGGCGGUGCCUCUUCGAUUUUGGAGCAAGCAAUCUUGUUGGGAGUGUUUUCUCGAAUGUGAGUAAAGGUUGGGCAUGUUUGCUAGUCUACCUUGCCACGAAGCACAGAGGUUGACACACAGGGACUUUCCAAUUAUCCAGCAAUGGUAUUGUUCCUUUACCCUCUUCGAUUUUUAAAAAAGUAGUCAUGUUGGGAGUCUGGCUCUCGAGAUUCGGAGGACGGUGCCUUUUCGAUUUUGGAGCAAGCAAUCUUAUUGGGAGUGUUUUCUCGAAUGUGAGUAAAGGUUGGACAUGUUUGCUAGUCUACCUUGCCACGAAGCACAGAGGUUGGCACACAGAGACUUUCCAAUUAUCCAGCAGUGGUACUGUUCCUUUACCCUUGUGGGUAAUAAUAUGGUAGCUAGACCUUCAAAAUUUAUGGGUCUAAACUUUGUUAGUGCUGUUUCUUUGCUAUUCUUUUACCCUUCUUGGUCAUAGCGAUGUAGUGGGAGCUGCAAGCUUCACGUGCUCAACUUUGGCAGAGAACUUUGGCAAAGUUUUCUGUGGUACCCAUGAGCUAUUGUUGCGUGUGGAAAGUGGGUGAUUGAACAGUAAGAUUCAUGUGUUUUCUACUUCCCCAGAAGUCUUCGACAUAAUGCCCAUAAUUUCCGCAAAGCUGAGUGUGCGUGUGACAGGUGCUGACAAGGCUGGAAAAGUAGGUGCCUCUUCGAUUUCUGAGAUCGGCCCUCGUGGUCUCUGGGGAGCCCAGCUUUUGAGAAAGAGAGCGCCUCUUCGAUUUCUGAGAUCAGCCUUCGUGGUCUUUGAGCAGCCCAACUUUUGAGAAAGCAAACGCCUCUUCGAUUUCUGAGAUCAACCCUCGUGAUCUCUAAGCAGCCCAGCUUUUGAGAAAGCAAACGCCUCUUCGAUUUCUGAAGCUCCGUCGAGUGCAGAUUUUUAUAGGGGCUGGCAUUAAGUUCCAAAGCACACUUGAAUCUCCACCAGUAGAAGCUUCAUUCUUGCACUUCUAAGAUCUUGAUUUGUCCGACCUCUUCUCUCUUCAACACCUUUGAAAAUGUCUGGCCCCUCCGACCGUCGUUUUGACUUGAACCUUGUUGAAGAGGCAGCCCCGCCUUCUCCAGACAACAUAUGGCGCCCAUCCUUCGUCUCCCCUACUGGUCCUCUUACCGUUGGGGAUUCCGUGAUGAAGAAUGAUAUGACCGUUGCGGUGGUGGCCAGGAACCUUCUCACUCCCAAAGAUAACAGACUACUUUCCAAACGGUCUGAUGAGUUAGCUGUUAAGGAUUCGCUGGCUCUCAGUGUUCAGUGUGCAGGUUCUGUGUCUAAUAUGGCCCAACGCCUAUUUGCUCGAACCCGCCAAGUUGAAUCAUUGGCGGCUGAAGUGAUGAGUCUCAAACAGGAGAUUAGAGGGCUCAAGCAUGAGAAUAAACAGUUGCACCGGCUCGCACAUGACUAUGCUACAAACAUGAAGAGGAAGCUUGACCAGAUGAAGGAAACUGAUGGUCAGGUUUUACUUGAUCAUCAAAGAUUUGUGGGUUUGUUCCAAAGGCAUUUAUUGCCUUCGUCUUCUGGGGCUGUACCGCGUAAUGAAGCUCCAAAUGAUCAACCUUUGAUGCCUCCUCCUUCUAGGGUUCUGUCCAGUACUGAGGCUCCAAAUGAUCCCCCUCCGGUGCCUUCUCUUUCUGGGGCUCUACCGACUGCUGAGACUUCUCCUAAGCAACCUUUGUGAAGGCUCCCUCUUGUGUGUUUUAUUUGACUCAUGUAUAUGCACAUAUUUGUAGCUUAUCGGGGAUAUCAAUAAAUAAGCUUUCCUUCAUUUCAACGUAUUGUGUUAAAUACACCAAAGCCUUCUUCGCUAAGUUCUUUGAAUUUUCUUUUGUUGAAGCUUGUAUGUUGAAGCUUUCUGAGUGGAGCAUGAAGGUUGGGGUAGUGUUCCCUUAAUUUUCCGAGUGAGGAAAACUUCUCGGUUGGAGACUUGGAAAAUCCAAGUCACUGAGUGGGAUCGGCUAUAUGAAUCUUAGAACGCCAUUGUGCUCAAUCCUGUGUCAUGUCCUUCGUUAGAUCCAAGUACUCUAAGUCUUUUCUUAGAGUCUCUUCCAAAGUUUUCCUAGGUCUUCCUCUACCCCUUCGGCCCUGAACCUCUGUCCCAUAGUCG
This 26843-nucleotide long non-coding RNA is filed under the name Malus domestica (apple). Its description in RNAcentral is "long non-coding RNA (MDOM_LNC010068)". Lineage: Eukaryota; Viridiplantae; Streptophyta; Magnoliopsida; Rosales; Rosaceae. The record is from RNAcentral.